RNAcentral lists this ribosomal RNA (25 nucleotides) under Lasiodiplodia theobromae. Its description in RNAcentral is "partial 18S ribosomal RNA". The record is from RNAcentral. Lineage: Eukaryota; Fungi; Ascomycota; Dothideomycetes; Botryosphaeriales; Botryosphaeriaceae. RNAcentral also lists the same sequence under 1 other name.
CCUGCGGAAGGAUCAUUACCGAGUU